GUCUCUGCAGCGCAAUGGAUAGCAUGUUGGACGAGUAUUCCAAAGAUCGUGAGUUCGAAUCCCACCUGGGAUA
Non-coding RNA from Trichonephila clavipes, 73 nucleotides. The record is from the annotation of a GenBank genome assembly. NCBI's taxonomy places the organism in Eukaryota, Metazoa, Arthropoda, Arachnida, Araneae, Nephilidae.